This 493-nucleotide ribosomal RNA is filed under the name uncultured organism. RNAcentral describes it as "SSU rRNA". It matches the Rfam family "Bacterial small subunit ribosomal RNA", at positions 15 to 509 of the family's 1533-position model. The record is from RNAcentral.
GAUCCUGGCUCAGGAUGAACGCUGGCGGCGUGCUUAACACAUGCAAGUCGAACGGACUUAUCAUGAUGAGACCUUCGGGAGGAUUCGUUUUAAGUUAGUGGCGGACGGGUGAGUAACGCGUGGGUAACCUGCCUUACACAGGGGGAUAACGAUUGGAAACGAUCGCUAAUACCGCAUAAGACCACAGUGCCGCAUGGUACAGAGGUAAAAGAUUCAUCGGUGUAAGAUGGACCCGCGUCUGAUUAGCCAGUUGGCAGGGUAACGGCCUACCAAAGCGACGAUCAGUAGCCGACCUGAGAGGGUGAUCGGCCACAUUGGGACUGAGACACGGCCCAAACUCCUACGGGAGGCAGCAGUGGGGAAUAUUGCACAAUGGGGGAAACCCUGAUGCAGCGACGCCGCGUGAGUGAAGAAGUAUUUCGGUAUGUAAAGCUCUUUAAGCAGGGAAGAUAAUGACGGUACCUGCAGAAUAAGCACCGGCUAAAUACGUGCC